Molecule: unclassified non-coding RNA, 2178 nt
Filed under: Hevea brasiliensis (rubber tree)
Lineage: Eukaryota; Viridiplantae; Streptophyta; Magnoliopsida; Malpighiales; Euphorbiaceae
Source: RNAcentral
GUUAAGACAAGGAGCAGUUGGACAUAUGUCGUCUUCAGUUCACAGCUCCAUUUUUUAACUCUUCCAUUGUUGCCAGUCACCUCUACCAAAACCAUUACCAACGCGUCUAACACCACCAUCACUGCCGCCUAGGGUUUUACAUUUUUCCUCCGCUUCCAAGCCUUUCACAGCUAAGAGAAUACAAUUCUUUUAACUGUUAUUAUUAUUAUUAAAUGCCUUCCAGAUCCACACGCUAAAAUACUACUCGAACAGAAGAGAGAGAAAUUGUGUGUCUCUCUCUCUCUGAUUGUCGCAUCUGAGUCUAUAAUUUGACGGAGUUAACUUUAAUAUGGGGCAAGAGAACUUCACUACCCAGAAGAGAGCUAGCGGCGGCGGAGGAGGAGGCCUGCCCACCAUAACCGCCAACGGCAGAGGAGGCCGUGCAACUAUGCCGCGCAGCAGGCAGAUUCAUAAGACCUUCAAUAACAUCAAGAUCACUAUUCUUUGUGGCUUCGUCACCAUUCUCGUCCUCCGUGGUACCAUCGGCAUUGGCAAUCUCACCAGCUCUGAGGAGGAAGCUAUCAACCAGAACCUCAUCGAGGAGACUAACCGGAUUCUGGCCGAGAUCCGCUCCGACAACGACCCUACCGACCCGGAUGAGCCGCCCGAGGCCGAGAUCAACUCCAAUGUCACUUACACGUUAGGCCCCAAACUCUCUAACUGGGACGAGGAACGCAAGGUAUGGCUUAGCCAAAACCUCGAGUUCCCUAAUUUUGUGAAUGGGAAGCCUAGGAUUUUGCUUUUGACCGGGUCGCCUCCUAACCCCUGUGAUAACCCGAUUGGGGAUCAUUACUUAUUAAAAGCUAUAAAGAAUAAGAUCGACUAUUGUAGGAUUCAUGGGAUUGAGAUUGUUUAUAAUAUGGCUCAUUUGGAUAAGGAAUUAGCUGGGUACUGGGCGAAAUUACCCAUGAUUAGGAGAUUGAUGCUGUCGCAUCCUGAAGUGGAGUGGAUUUGGUGGAUGGAUAGUGAUGCAAUGUUUACUGAUAUGGUUUUUGAGAUCCCGUUAUCCAAGUACGAUAAGCAUAAUUUGGUGAUUCAUGGGUAUCCUGAUUUGUUGUUCGAACAAAAAUCAUGGAUUGCUUUGAACACUGGGAGUUUCUUGUUUAGGAAUUGUAAGUGGAGCUUGGAUUUGCUUGAUGCCUGGGCUCCAAUGGGUCCUAAGGGGCCAAUAAGGGAGGAGGCUGGCAAAAUUUUGACUGCAAAUUUGAAGGGGAGGCCAGCAUUUGAGGCUGAUGAUCAGUCAGCUUUGAUUUACUUACUUCUUUCACAAAAGGAUCAGUGGAUGGAUAAGGUGUAUAUUGAGAAUCAAUAUUAUUUGCAUGGGUAUUGGGCAGGGUUGGUGGAUAGGUAUGAGGAGAUGAUUGAGAAGCACCAUCCAGGAUUGGGUGAUGAGAGGUGGCCUUUUGUGACUCAUUUUGUUGGUUGCAAGCCUUGUGGGAGCUAUGGGGAUUAUCCUGUUGAACAGUGCUUGAGAAGCAUGGAAAGGGCUUUCAAUUUCGCUGAUAACCAGGUGCUUAAGUUAUACGGUUUUGGGCAUAGGGGACUAUUGAGCCCCAAGAUCAAGAGGAUCAGGAAUGAGACAGUAACUCCAUUGGAGUAUGUAGACCAGUUUGAUAUUCGCCAUUCAGUACAUGGAAACAGCAGGUCAGGGAGCUAGUGAGUGAAAUAUGUUCACUGUGUCAUAAUUUGUAGGCAAUGUAAUUCCUCAGUUGAAGGCAGAUAUAAAUUUGAUAGCAAUCUACAUUUAAGUAAGUUUUUCCUUGCUAUGUUGUCUUGGUUAUGCUUCUGAGAUAAAAAAAGGAUAGAAUUCUUUUAUUGGCAUCAACUUUGUCUUCCUUCUUGUUCGAGUAAUCAAUGAAGGAAAUUUAUAAACAAGAGCUACAGUAUGGUUGUCCUCCUUCAUUUCUCUUCUUAUUUGGGUAAUGACUUGUUUAUUUUCCUUUGUACUCAUUCUUCUGGAAUGUAAAUGAUAAGAAUAUUGUGUACGAUUAUAGAAAAUUGCAGUCGGGAGAAAAUUUGAAAUCCUCAGUUUGUCAUUCAAAUUAUUGAUUUGGAUGAGAGUGUUUUAUUUAUGUGAUUAACUUUAUGCUAUUUUUGAAAAAAAUCAUAUAGAUGUUCUGAAAUUUUCCACAUUGCACC